GAUGAACGCUGGCGGCGUGCCUAAUACAUGCAAGUCGAGCGAACAGAUGAGGAGCUUGCUCCUCUGACGUUAGCGGCGGACGGGUGAGUAACACGUGGAUAACCUACCUAUAAGACUGGGAUAACUUCGGGAAACCGGAGCUAAUACCGGAUAAUAUAUUGCACCGCAUGGUUCAAUAGUGAAAGACGGUUUUGCUGUCACUUAUAGAUGGAUCCGCGCCGCAUUAGCUAGUUGGUAAGGUAACGGCUUACCAAGGCAACGAUGCGUAGCCGACCUGAGAGGGUGAUCGGCCACACUGGAACUGAGACACGGUCCAGACUCCUACGGGAGGCAGCAGGAGGGAAUCUUCCGCAAAGGGCGAAAGCCUGACGGAGCAACGCCGCGUGAGUGAUGAAGGUCUUCGGAUCGUAAAACUCUGUUAUUAGGGAAGAACAAAUGUGUAAGUAACUAUGCACGUCUUGACGGUACCUAAUCAGAAAGCCACGGCUAACUACGUG
RNAcentral lists this ribosomal RNA (497 nucleotides) under uncultured bacterium. RNAcentral's name for it is "partial 16S ribosomal RNA". It matches the Rfam family "Bacterial small subunit ribosomal RNA", at positions 28 to 507 of the family's 1533-position model. The record is from RNAcentral.